Molecule: long non-coding RNA, 2374 nt
Organism: Panicum virgatum (switchgrass)
Lineage: Eukaryota; Viridiplantae; Streptophyta; Magnoliopsida; Poales; Poaceae
Exons: 2
Source: RefSeq, a predicted model, not a curated record
ACCCCCAUUUUUUUUAUCCGUGCACAUCAUCCACCACACCCCCGUCACAUGGCCCCCGCACAGAUCCAGGCUCCCCAAAACUCGCCGGCGACCGCCCCCAAACUCUCCGGCGUCCCCAGCUCCGCUGGUGGUCGCUGCUCGCUGCCGUGCUCCCGUUGCUCACCAGGGUAAUCCAGCUACCGCUGUGUACCGCCGCAUUCCAUUUCCGUCGCCACCGCGCGCUCCUCGCCGCAACCCAGCUACGUUUCCAGCCGAGCGCCGCCGCAAACCAGGGUGCUGCCGUACGGGAUCUACUCGUUCUCGGCUACACGUGCUCGGGCGCCAUCUCCGGCGCUCCGCCGCAAGUCUUCUUCGCAUCCAGGUGUCCUUCCCCAACUCUCCCUAUGUCCCUGGUAUCCAUCACCAGAGGUCCCGUCUUCUUGAUUUCCGCCUAUCCGGUGGGCACUAUGGUGGAGGCUCACCAACAGUGCAAUUGCAUAUGCUGCCGAGUAUGUGCAAUUCUCUACGCUGUCAAACUUGGGGUACAUGAACUUUUCAAAAAAAAAAACUUGGGGUACAUGUCCUCGCUGAUUUUGUUCGCUUCCCAGUCUGCUUGUUUUCUGUUGGUAUGCUGUAUGCAAGAUGAGGAUAUGGGAAGAAUGUGCUGAACCAAUACCGAAUUGUUGUCAAUUAGAUAGGGCUGCCUGCUUCCGUAGCUCACACUUUUUCUACAUAUUUCGGGGAACAUUUGUUGUUUCUUGCCUGAUUUUUUAAUGAAACUUUACUAUGCAUCUUUUGUAUGAGUCUGUUCAGUUUGAUAGUCAUUUUAUACCCUUGCAGAUAUUGUGGUGUGCUCAAACCUAAUAUAUGAUUACAUUUCCAAUUGGUGUGAGUUUCUUAGCAUGAUACAUGCAUGUGUUAUGAUAUUUGCACUAUUUUCCUACAGUUUCACAGUCUUGUCUGAGCCUUCCUGAGAUUGGAUUCAAGUGAACGUACGCAGAUCAGAAGGCUUCCUACAAUAGUAUGCUUAGCAAAUUUUGUGUAACUCACAUUCUAUUAUGUUUUUUCAUUGUCGUUACAAAGUAUGUGAAUAUGACUCAUACAAUGCAUUGAUAUGACUAGUCGGCUAGUAGCUCAAGUUAUGCAACUAGUAGCUGAAUCUGAUACUUCCAUGAACAAGAGAUGCGCAUACUCCCUUCUGUGUAAUCCUCCCUAUUUUUACUAAUAAUUAAUUUCUAGUUAAUUCACAUAGUCAGUUCCAUGGAUUUUCAGCAAGCUGAUUAAUUAUGCAAGCAAAUUUUUUAGAUGAGUUUUUAUCUGACUAAUUUUAUAGUCUAAAGUGGGAUGCUGGUUUCAGGCAAUAGUAAGUACAUGCAUGGACAGAUAGGUCUUAUCUGACUAAUUACUUGUUAUAUACUCCCUCCGUCUUGAAAUUUAAGUCAUCCUGGGAGUGUUUUACUGUGUCCAGAUUCAUAGAAUGUUCAAUGAAUCUGGACAUACAGUUUGUCUAGAUUCAGAUAAUGUUCAAUGAAUCUGGUAAAAUGCCAGAAUGACUUACAUUUCAGACAGAUGGAGUAUAUCAUCAAUUACACUAUUAUUUCAAUGUAAUUGAGGUGUAAAUAAUGACCCCCUUAGGCUUCAAUCCUUUUAAAAUUUGAAUUUUUAUAUUUACAGUUAGCACUUACUAUUUUUUACACCAUCAAUUACACUGUCAUUUAAUUAAGGUGUUAAUCAUUACCCCUUUUAUGUAUUUGAAUUUCAAAAUGGUCCUGCCAUUUUAUUUUAAUUUGAAUCAUUUUUAUUUCCUAACUUAUUUUCUGGUUCCUUUUAUGUAGAACUUUCUUAUACAUCUAGCUCAAGGUUUUUCCAGAUUCACACCAUCAACAUCAAGGAUGUUGAAGAACCUACUGAAGAACUAUCUUGGUGGAAACAUGACUAUAUCCUCUUGUGCCGUCAACUGAUGGGCCAGGGAUUUGGGAAUUAUAGGUUUAAUAUGGUUCAGCUUGAAGAAUUCAUCGUGGCCUGUUCAUUAAUUAAUGAUGCUAUAAAACUUGAUGAGAAAUGCUAAGAAUUUAAUCUGGUCGAGUUGGACACAGCCGUAUCAAGGAGAUCUUCCAUUCUAUUCGAUGCUGAUAACAUUAGCUUAGUGGAGGAUGCUCCUUUGUCACCUUAUGUCUCUGAAAUUGUCCCUAGGGACAAUUACAAGAAGUGCAAGUGCUCAAACCAUGUCAAUGUCUAGAAUUUGCUAAUAUGUGUUAUGAGACAUGGUUAAGUCUUUUACUAAUUUCUAUCAAUGGCCAUGUAUAUCGAGUUCAUCAGGUAGUCUUUUGUAAAAAUUAUGAGUGUGGAUGGUUGUCACAUCAAUAUGAUUGUUUCUAUUACACUCGUUUUUGUC